Long non-coding RNA from Erpetoichthys calabaricus (reedfish), 1358 nucleotides. RefSeq lists it as uncharacterized. Lineage: Eukaryota; Metazoa; Chordata; Cladistia; Polypteriformes; Polypteridae. The transcript has 3 exons. The record is from RefSeq and is a predicted model, not a curated record.
UUAGCGGACUACCUGCUUUAGCAGUCAGUUGAUGGGAAGUUUUCAUUCUGCUCAGCUGGCUGCAUACUCCCUUUAUGCUGCUAAAAGCAAGCAGCUGAUUUUGCAACAAUCAAAGGUAAUGAAACGGAAAAGGGGGAGAGAAGGUUGCAAUACAGGGAUGGUGGAAGUUUUACUCUACUUGUUCAUGGAUUUUGUGUUUUGUUGUUGUUUAAGAGUUUAGAAAUUACCCCCGGGGAUGUGUGAAAUCUAGGUGUGUUUGUUUAUGUGUAGGAAUAAAAUGAGAAUAAGUGGAUGGACCCCCCUCCUCUUUCAGAAUGGUAUGCACCUAUUGCCUUUAGGCAAAUGUGUAGGAACUGCAUAAAAAAUCCUUCAUGCCAUUAGUUUGUCAGUCAGUGGUGAGGAUAGGUGUCACUAUUGCAAUUUCCCCCAUACCAUGCUUUUGGCUGUUUUAAAGGGAUCAUAAUUGUGAAGUCAUUCAUGCAGUCCACUAAUGCAUCUGUUUGAGCUUCUUCCAGAUUGGUAGCACCAGCUAAUCCUGUGUGAAGGCUGGAUGGGUUUCAUCAGACGGAGUAAAAAACGCAGGAGGAGGACUGAAGAUUUAUGUUAAUAAGUGAUGGAUAAAAAGGGAGCACAUUAUAAAUUAAAUAUGUGACCAAGACAUUGAAAUGUGUACUGAAUUUGUCUACAUUACUGCUCAAGGAAAUAAGUUACUUCAUCCUGGCUGACUCCGUAACAGUGAUGAUUCACUCUAUACCAGAGUUUGUUUGUUUUUUAUUAUUAUAAGUAUCAUCCAUCUAUUCAUAUGUAAUUCACUACAACAGUAACAAAAAUUUUGUUCUUGUAUCACCCUAAAUCACACAAGUAAUGCCGCAAUGGGCUUUAACAGGCCUUGUUUCAUGACGUACCCCAGCCUUGAUUCCCCAAGAAGGCAAGAAAAAGACUCCCAAAAAAAGAAAAAACACCUUUGUAGGAAUGAAAAAUGGAAACAAUCUUGGGAAAGGCAAUUCAGAGAGAGACCCUUCCAGGUAGGUUGUGUGUGCAAUGGAUGUGAAAAAACUGGGUAAAUAUAAUACACAAAACAGAACACAAGCAAUCUUCUUUACAAAGCUAGAUGGCAAAUAUGUAUCUGCCAUUGCCACUUCAGAAUUAUAGAAUAGUACAAUAUAGAAUAGUAGUACAAACUACAGGGCAAAAUGCAAAUAUAGUGUAGAAUAUACUACUCACUAAAUACGGAACUAUCACAUAUGAAGACACAAAUUUGUUCAAAUGCAUAAACAACAAAGUAGAAACUAAUUAACAUAAAUGAAAAACAACAAUAUCUGCCCAUUGGCUAAUUGUAGAACCACUGCCAGAUUAUA